AGAGUUUGAUCCUGGCUCAGGACGAACGCUGGCGGCGUGCUUAACACAUGCAAGUCGAACGAGGUCCAUGGAGUAGCAAUACUCCGGAAGACCUAGUGGCGAACGGGUGCGUAACACGUGAGAAACCAACCCCGGUCUCUGGGAUAACAGGUGGAAACGCCUGCUAAUACCGGAUGCCGUCGUUUCCUCGCAUGGGGAGAUGACGAAAGGGCUACUGGAUCGGGACGGUCUCGCGGCCUAUCAGCUUGUUGGAGAGGUAACGGCUCACCAAGGCAUCGACGGGUAGCUGGUCUGAGAGGAUGAUCAGCCACACUGGGACUGAGACACGGCCCAGAUUCCUACGGGAGGCAGCAGUGGGGAAUCUUGCGCAAUGGGCGAAAGCCUGACGCAGCAACGCCGCGUGCGGGAUGAAGGCCCUCGGGUUGUAAACCGCUUUUACCAGGAAGGAAACUGACAGUACCUGGAGAAUAAGGUGCGGCCAACUACGUGCCAGCAGCCGCGGUGACACGUAGGCACCAAGCGUUGUCCGGAUUUAUUGGGCGUAAAGAGCUCGUAGGCGGUUCAGUAAGUCGGGUGUGAAAACUCUGGGCUUAACCCAGAGACGCCACCCGAUACUGCUGUGACUUGAGUCCGGUAGGGGAGUGGGGAAUUCCUGGUGUAGCGGUGAAAUGCGCAGAUAUCAGGAGGAACACCAAUGGCGAAGGCACCACUCUGGGCCGAGACUGACGCUGAGGAGCGAAAGCGUGGGUAGCAAACAGGAUUAGAUACCCUGGUAGUCCACGCCGUAAACGGUGGGCACUAGGUGUGGGUUCCAACCAACGGGAUCCGCGCCGUCGCUAACGCAUUAAGUGCCCCGCCUGGGGAGUACGGCCGCAAGGUUAAAACUCAAAGGAAUUGACGG
RNAcentral lists this ribosomal RNA (901 nucleotides) under uncultured marine bacterium. Its description in RNAcentral is "bacterial SSU rRNA". It matches the Rfam family "Bacterial small subunit ribosomal RNA", at positions 8 to 916 of the family's 1533-position model. The record is from RNAcentral.